UGGGGAAUCUUGGACAAUGGGCGAAAGCCUGACCCAGCAACGCCGCGUGAAGGAUGAAGUAUUUCGGUAUGUAAGCUUCGAAAGAAUAGGAAGAAUAAAUGACGGUACUAUUUAUAAGGUCCGGCUAACUACGUGCCAGCAGCCGCGGUAAUACGUAGGGACCAAGCGUUGUUCGGAUUUACUGGGCGUAAAGGGCGCGUAGGCGGCAAUUCAAGUCAUCUGUGAAAUCUCCGGGCUUAACUCGGAACGGUCAGAUGAUACUGCUUUGCUAGAGUGCAGAAGGGGCAAUCGGAAUUCUUGGUGUAGCGGUGAAAUGCGUAGAUAUCAAGAGGAACACCUGAGGUGAAGACGGGUUGCUAGGCUGACACUGACGCUGAGGCGCGAAAGCCAGGGGAGCAAACGGGAUUAGAUACCCCCGUAGUCCCUGAGCGGGCUGGCAAGGCGCAU
Molecule: ribosomal RNA, 447 nt
Filed under: uncultured bacterium
Lineage: Bacteria
Description: bacterial SSU rRNA
Rfam family: Bacterial small subunit ribosomal RNA
Source: RNAcentral